Solanum tuberosum (potato) is the source of this 715-nucleotide long non-coding RNA. RefSeq lists it as uncharacterized. The transcript is spliced from 3 exons. The record is from RefSeq and is a predicted model, not a curated record. Lineage: Eukaryota; Viridiplantae; Streptophyta; Magnoliopsida; Solanales; Solanaceae.
AAUUGAAAUUAAAAUAAAGUUUCUGAUAGAAAAUGACUUUACAUGUGGAAGGUUGUAAGCCAAGAAUUAAAACAGGUAAGGAUUUGCAUAGUUGGCAUACACACUUGGCUGUGUUGGAGGUUUUCAAGCCAAGAGAAGUGCCAACUUGGCUAAUCCUUGUUUUGCAUAUUUGUCUCUAUUUAUUAGCUGCUCCCUCCAGCCCCGGACGCCUUCGAAUCGAAACAAACUAAAGCUCUUCCAUCUCUGUUUUUCUUCUUUCGAUCUGCCCAUCAGCCUUAGCUUGUUAUCAAGUAUCAACACCAUAUUUCUUCAUUAAAAGGUAAUCAUAAUAUUUUUCUUGCUUUCAAGCACACAGAGCACCCUCUCUGAUUACCAAAGCUGAUGGAUCAACUUGCAACAGUGUUGGAUAUGGGACGGGGUAACUAGGUGAAUAUAUAUAAAAUAGGGAAAAGUUACAUGUGUGAAAUCCAGCCAAUGAGAGAGCGACACCUGGCUCAAAAUGGAGAUUCCAACGGCGGAGGCGACUGCUAGCGGUGAUGGCGGCGUGGUGUUGUUAAAGAUAUAAGCGGUGAUUGGCUGAAGAAAACGGUGACACAGACUGGGUUGUUUUGAUUUGAAUUAGAAACUAGUAAAAUUAUCCGUACAGAAAUUUAUUAUCAUGAAAUUUCUAAAAUAAUACUUAAAAGGAAAAAUUCUUUUGGCCAGAAAAUUUGGC